This 395-nucleotide ribosomal RNA is filed under the name uncultured bacterium. RNAcentral's name for it is "partial 16S ribosomal RNA". It matches the Rfam family "Bacterial small subunit ribosomal RNA", at positions 334 to 724 of the family's 1533-position model. The record is from RNAcentral.
GACUACUGGGGGCUGCAGUAGGGAAUCUUCCACAAUGGGCGCAAGCCUGAUGGAGCAACACCGCGUGAGUGAAGAAGGGUUUCGGCUCGUAAAGCUCUGUUGUUGGAGAAGAACGUGCGUGAGAGUAACUGUUCACGCAGUGACGGUAUCCAACCAGAAAGUCACGGCUAACUACGUGCCAGCAGCCGCGGUAAUACGUAGGUGGCAAGCGUUAUCCGGAUUUAUUGGGCGUAAAGCGAGCGCAGGCGGUUGCUUAGGUCUGAUGUGAAAGCCUUCGGCUUAACCGAAGAAGUGCAUCGGAAACCGGGCGACUUGAGUGCAGAAGAGGACAGUGGAACUCCAUGUGUAGCGGUGGAAUGCGUAGAUAUAUGGAAGAACACCAGUGGCGAAGGCGG